UUCUCUUCCUGUAUUCGGCCUGUUAUCUUUGUCGUUCCAUUUGUAGACGAUUACUCCAGAUUCAUCGCUCCAUUCUCCAUCGAUUCCUUGGUGGGGUGGUGCCAGGGAAAAUAGUCCUUUAUCUCCUGAGAUCAUCAAAUGCAAAUGUUCAUAUGGAUAUAUGAGGACCAAGAACGAAUAGUCGCAGAAGAAAUUAUACGAAUAGAAGCUAGAAUGUCAAAUGAUUCACUCAGUAAUCUCGCAUCAAUCUCAGACAACUGAAUUCAUUAGCUGUGAUAACUACUUACAUAGCUCCAGAGUCCAGCCCAAAACAGAACACAAAUCGUGGCAAUUCAAUGUCAAAAUGUACCGCGGACUACCCUUGGAAACUCCCAUCGUCACAGCCCAAGAACAUGGCACGUAUUUUCCACUUUGUCAAACUUAACAAUUUGUCCUUUGAGCUAUACCACCUUCGAACCUAAUAAGUGUGUACCAUCAACCGUGUUAACUUGUUAGCUAUAACCCCCUUGACGGAGGGCGGAUCAAGAAGGACUGACUGAUUAGGCAAAGCAAAUCCCACAUCGAAAUGGAAUAAAAAAAGUGAAGAGUUUUAUAACACAUAGCUCCACUUCAAAUGGCAUGCAAGCUUUUGAAGCUCAACGCGGUGUAGCCCGAAAGACAAUUCUAUGCUUGGGCCUAAGCCCAAAGCGGACAAUACAUGUCACUCAUGGACAUGAGUCGUGAACGCUAGCCUAUGUCCAAAAGUGUGUAUUUAUAUACCUCUUCUUCAAAACCUUGCUAGCUUAGAAGUCUGUCAAUCCUUAUUUUUUGCCUAUCUUAAUACUAGGAGUACUAGUCUACAACAAUUUCUUGUCUCCAAUAAAUAGUCAAAUCAUGUGAGGUAAAAGAUAAAACAAAGAACAUGUGUAGUUUAAUGGUCAAUAACAUGGGUAAGUCUCAAGUCAAUUCUUUGGACAAAGUUAAUUGUUACAAUGUUGUUGGUGUCAAAUAUACCGUGAAAUUAGUUGAGGUGUGCAAAAAUUGAUCUGGACACCACAAUUAUCAAAUAUGUAAAUAAAUAAAACAAAGGGAAGCAAAAACAAAAUAAAAAAAUCAAGAAUUGGGAAAGGAUGUACCAUUUGUGUGGCCAUGGAAAGAGCAUGCAAUGGGGGAAUUAUCUUUGUCUUCAUAAAAAGUAUUGCACCUCAAGCAUUUCUUCUUAUAAUUUUGGGCAUUCACAAUUUGUAAUCUUCUAAAUCCUUUGGAAAUUUUUUUUCUCCAACA
Molecule: long non-coding RNA, 1263 nt
Filed under: Capsicum annuum
Lineage: Eukaryota; Viridiplantae; Streptophyta; Magnoliopsida; Solanales; Solanaceae
Description: long non-coding RNA (CANN_LNC005747)
Source: RNAcentral